This 325-nucleotide ribosomal RNA is filed under the name uncultured Pseudomonadota bacterium. RNAcentral's name for it is "bacterial SSU rRNA". It matches the Rfam family "Bacterial small subunit ribosomal RNA", at positions 30 to 351 of the family's 1533-position model. The record is from RNAcentral. Lineage: Bacteria; Pseudomonadati; Pseudomonadota.
AUUGAACGCUGGCGGCAUGCUUUACACAUGCAAGUCGAACGGCAGCACGGGAGCUUGCUCCUGGUGGCGAGUGGCGAACGGGUGAGUAAUGCAUCGGAACGUAUCCAAUAAUGGGGGAUAACGCACCGAAAGGUGUGCUAAUACCGCAUACGCCCUGAGGGGGAAAGUGGGGGAUUCGCAAGGACCUCACGUUAAUGGAGCGGCUGAUGCCGGAUUAGCUAGUUGGUGAGGUAAAGGCUCACCAAGGCGACGAUCCGUAGCUGGUCUGAGAGGACGACCAGCCACACUGGGACUGAGACACGGCCCAGACUCCUACGGGUGGCUG